GGGGAAUAUUGCACAAUGGGGGAAACCCUGAUGCAGCGACGCCGCGUGAGUGAAGAAGUAUUUCGGUAUGUAAAGCUCUAUCAGCAGGGAAGAUAAUGACGGUACCUGACUAAGAAGCCCCGGCUAACUACGUGCCAGCAGCCGCGGUAAUACGUAGGGGGCAAGCGUUAUCCGGAUUUACUGGGUGUAAAGGGAGCGUAGGUGGUUUGGUAAGUCAGAUGUGAAAGCCCGGGGCUCAACCCCGGGACUGCAUUUGAAACUAUCAAACUAGAGUGCAGGAGAGGUAAGUGGAAUUCCUAGUGUAGCGGUGAAAUGCGUAGAUAUUAGGAGGAACACCAGUGGCGAAGGCGGCUUACUGGACUGUAACUGACACUGAGGCUCGAAAGCGUGGGGAGCAAACA
This 401-nucleotide ribosomal RNA is filed under the name uncultured Clostridium sp. Its description in RNAcentral is "bacterial SSU rRNA". It matches the Rfam family "Bacterial small subunit ribosomal RNA", at positions 356 to 774 of the family's 1533-position model. The record is from RNAcentral. Lineage: Bacteria; Bacillati; Bacillota; Clostridia; Eubacteriales; Clostridiaceae.